GAGCCGUUGUAGCUAUAGCAACAGGAACCCAAACAACUCUGUUCCCUCCGUGACAUGACUUUGUUGGGUGUUUCUUACAGCUGGAAUUCAACUGUGAUCAAACGUGCAGGUGACAGCUCUGCUGAGGAGGUAUAACACACACACAGCAGGACCUAAUCAAGCUGCAAAGUAACCUGAAGAGAUCAGAGCAGUGGGAGCUGUAGGCAACACUGAGGAAUUCAGGAGCAAUGCCAGCUCUGCACCACACAGUGAAGAAAUCAAUUGCCCUGUCACAAGAUGAAGAUUACAAAGAGGAGUUUCUUCCUCCACCAAACAUCUUUAUCACGCCUUCGUAUGGUGUCUCACUGCAGCAGGAGCCAGUGGAGGAAGUGUGCACCUACUGCUAAUGUGUAGGAUACACAAAGGGUGACAACGUCCAAAUGCUUCAACACAUCACUGAACGGCUCUUACAAACCCUCCUGUCACUAGAAAUCAAAAUGGAUGGAUGAAUAAUGGUCAGGCUGGAGCUUCUGCCUCUUGCCAGGAGUAGUGAGCAGAGAUUUAAAACCAGCUUGUAAGCAAUAUGCAGCCAAUCUAGAGCUACGUAAUCAGACCUAAAAUCAUCAGCAUUACACAUACAUCAACUUACCUCUGCAUAGGGAGUUACUGGUGUUUCUCAAAGGACCCUGGUUCAUCGACUGAAGUCAGGAAAAGAAUUACUUGUUUCACAAUCUUUUUUUCCCAACUGUAUUCACUGGCAGCACCGAAUAGGUUGUUUUUCUCCUUUCUAAAAGCUUGCAUUCUGAUUUAAUUGAAGAAAUAAGAUAAAGUCUGCCCCCCUAUAUACAUAAAAAAAAGUAUUUCAAAAUACAACACAUUGUAAAAUGUCCCCUUCAUGUAAAAUCCUACCACAGAUGAAA
This is a long non-coding RNA of Strigops habroptila (Kakapo), 899 nucleotides long. Ensembl lists it as uncharacterized. NCBI's taxonomy places the organism in Eukaryota, Metazoa, Chordata, Aves, Psittaciformes, Psittacidae. The record is from Ensembl.